This 480-nucleotide ribosomal RNA is filed under the name uncultured bacterium. RNAcentral's name for it is "partial 16S ribosomal RNA". It matches the Rfam family "Bacterial small subunit ribosomal RNA", at positions 29 to 507 of the family's 1533-position model. The record is from RNAcentral.
AUGCACGCUGGCGGCGUGCUUAACACAUGCAAGUCGAACGAAGCAUUUGCGACAGAUUUUUUCGGAAUGAAGUUGCUUAUGACUGAGUGGCGGACGGGUGAGUAACGCGUGGGUAACCUGCCUUGUACUGGGGGAUAGCAGCUGGAAACGGCUGGUAAUACCGCAUAAGCGCACAAUGUUGCAUGACAUGGUGUGAAAAACUCCGGUGGUAUAAGAUGGACCCGCGUCUGAUUAGCUAGUUGGUGAGAUAACAGCCCACCAAGGCGACGAUCAGUAGCCGACCUGAGAGGGUGACCGGACACAUUGGGACUGAGACACGGCCCAGACUCCUACGGGAGGCAGCAGUGGGGAAUAUUGCACAAUGGAGGAAACUCUGAUGCAGCGACGCCGCGUGAGUGAAGAAGUAAUUCGUUAUGUAAAGCUCUAUCAGCAGGGAAGAUAGUGACGGUACCUGACUAAGAAGCGCCGGCUAAAUACGUG